CACUUCCGGUGCGUUUUACAAUGAACUCCGGGCACUCGAGUCGCUCCCCGGAAACUAUAGUUCUGCUUCCACCGUUGUCCUACUUUGGAUAGCAUCAAGACAAAAAUCUCAGUCUUCGAGGAACUCACAGUGUAGCAGAAAAGACAAAGGAGGUAAACAGGAGGAGCUGAUAGCCAGCAAGAAAACAGGGACUUCAGUUCUGCAACUGCAACCAACAACCGGAGUGAGCUUGGAAGCAGAUUCUUUCCAGAGCAUCUAAAGCAGUGAUCCAUGUUUUCAUUGGACUGUGAAAGAGCUACUUCUACUCUAAGGCCACAUUGCCUACAUGAAAUAAAUUAUUGUUAGGAAAUUGCCUUGAAAAGAGAAACAAGACCACAACUCUUAGAAGAAUUCUGAACUUGAGAUUGACAUAGAUCAGAAAGCCCAGAUGCUGUUGAUCCAUCUCACCAGGCAGCAAGAGUAAGGAUAGAAUAUCUGCCCUCCAAUUUCACAGUUCACUAAGAAAAGACUUCUACACUCCCUGGGCAGAACAAUUCCAUCUACGCGGCAUAGGGUUGCUUCUGGAGGACCUGACCUAAGAUUGGCAUCUUACUCAGUCCAGAAGGUCAGGGAAGACUUCUUGGAAGACAUGCCAUCUAAAACAAUGACUGAUGGAGGAAUGGAAUCAUCCAAGUGUACGGGGAGUGGAUGGAAGACAAGAGCAUUCUAGGUAGGUGAACAGGACAAUUCAAAGGCUCCUCCUGGAGAAGCCACAGUUGGAUGCAGGUUAUCUCUUUAGAAUCCACCUUAAUUUUCCAUUUCAGCAAGUUUUAUGGUGAGCUCACAUUUUCUUUAACCUUUAUGUCCGUGAUAUAAAAUUCCUGUUUUCUUAUAAUCAGCAUUUAUCAGGAGUCUUUUUUUAAAAAACAGAAAACAAAACGUAUUUUUUCCUCAUUUACUAAUAGAUUCACUGCCUAUAACAGUGUGAAUAAUGUGUUGGCCAAAGGAGAAUGAGAUAGCCCAUUAUACUUAUUGAUAUAAAUUAUCCUUGAUGAAGAAAGUCCAUGUUCAUCAAUGCUGAUAUGACUGUGUCAUCAAUUUAAUAGCUGAAUGCUAAGGACCAUUAAAUUUAUCACUAUUUGCUAUACCCUUAUUUAUAAUAGUGCCCAAGAGUAAUAUGUAAUUAACUUCAUGACUGAUUGACAAAGUAAACUACAGGGUAAUCAAUCAUAUUGUAUAAAUGCUUGUCAUUGGGCCACAUGUGGAAUAUGGAGGUUGACUUGUGAUGUUUCAGCACUUCCCUGUCUUGAUUGUUGCUCUUGGCUGUUUAGAUCUAAAGUCCCUAUAAGUGUUGGACUUACUUAUUUAAAUAAGCUGGUUGCUACACCUUGAGAUUCAGUCCAAUCUUGCUGUCUAGCAUGAUCCUUAACCGAUGUCCUUUGUGUGGGCAUAUGGAGGACCUCUCCUUUCCUCUUGAUCUAGAAUGUCUUUUUUUUUUUUAGGUCUUCCCCAUUCAUAAUUGUUUUCCUUUGCAUACCAGCCCCUGCUUUCACUUAGACUUUCUUCUGACAUUUGUAUUUAAAACUAGCAAUUUGCACUCUCCUGCAAUAGUUUCCCCUUACUGAAGUCAUUUUGUAACUCUUCCUCCUCUCUCAGCUUGCCAGAAAUGAGAAAUGCCUAUAAACUUCACCAUGAGCAAGGAUAAGUGAGCCCAAGUCACGACAAAUAAGCCCAAGUCACGGUAAAUGAGCCCAAGUCAGGUUUUCUCUCCAAGUAUGGACUGUUUUGCAAAGCUUACAGUAACCCAGAAGGGUCAGCUUCUUUGCCUGUGAUAGCUAUUUGUAACUUUAGAAACUCCAGGUUUUGUGUGACCAAAAGGAAGACUAAGAUAACUGUCAUAAUUCAUUCCAGGAAUAAAAAUGGGCUGGGUGCAGUGGCUCAUGCCUAUAAUCUCAGCACUUUGG
This 1943-nucleotide long non-coding RNA is filed under the name Homo sapiens (human). Its description in RNAcentral is "HSALNT0314696". The record is from RNAcentral. Lineage: Eukaryota; Metazoa; Chordata; Mammalia; Primates; Hominidae.